Molecule: ribosomal RNA, 401 nt
Filed under: uncultured bacterium
Lineage: Bacteria
Description: partial 16S ribosomal RNA
Rfam family: Bacterial small subunit ribosomal RNA
Source: RNAcentral
CCUACGGGUGGCUGCAGUAGGGAAUUUUCGUCAAUGGACGCAAGCCUGAACGAGCAAUGCCGCGUGAACGAGGAAGGUCUUAGGAUCGGAAAGUUCUGUUGAAGGGGGAAAAGAACGGGGAGAGUGAAUGCUUUCUGAUUUAUAUUACCCUUCGAGGAAGUCACGGCUAACUACGUGCCAGCAGCCACGGUAAUACGUAGGUGGCGAGCGUUAUCCGGAAUGAUUGGGAGUAAAGGGUGCGUAGGCGGCAUGCUAAGUCUGGAGUGAAAGGUACCGGCUCAACCGGUACAGGCUCUGGAAACUGGCGGGGUAGAGGGAAGGAGAGGGCGGGGGAAAUCCAUGGGUAGCGGUAAAAUGCGUAGAUAUAUGGAAGAACACCAGUGGGGAAGGCGGGCGUAUGG